RNAcentral lists this long non-coding RNA (769 nucleotides) under Capsella rubella. RNAcentral's name for it is "long non-coding RNA (CRUB_LNC005185)". The record is from RNAcentral. Lineage: Eukaryota; Viridiplantae; Streptophyta; Magnoliopsida; Brassicales; Brassicaceae.
GAAAAAGGAAAUGUAAGAACUAAUUUUCUGAUUUUCAAUAGAUAUCAUCCAACGAGUAAUUUCUUGUUUUUGACCUAUAUAAAUCUUACUAUGGUCUUAAAGUGCAAUUUGAAACCUUAUUAAGUUUCUUGGCAAAUUCAUCAGAAAAGGUGCAAUGACAACAGAACGAUCAAGCUCAAACAUCCUCCUUUCCAUUCUUGUACUUGCUUUAGUCCUCUCUCCCAUCCUUCCAUGUCAAGCAACACGAGCACAUCUAGAUGGUAAGCUAGUCUUAUGGAAUAAGAAAUGCCUCGAGUUUUACCUUAGGUUAAUCUUUUUCUUUAUUUUCUCAUGUGCAGCUGAAAGGCGUAUGCUGAGGCGCAUAUGUCCUUCGUGUGUGUGUUGUGCACCAGCUCCACGAGGUUCUUGCUGCCCAUGUCGAUGCCCCAAAAAGCCUUAAAAAUGUUUCAACUUUGAUUUCGUCUAACAGAUUAUCAUGUGUUUAAUGUAUCGUAUUAACAUGUGAAUAAAGCAAUCAAAAGAUUAGGUUUCAUAUAUAUGACUCUUGUCACUCAGGCCAUUCUAACUUUUGAUUAUGAUAUGAUAUCCUCUGUUUCGGAUACAGAACUACAUGUCAUACAUGUUUUGGCUUAUAGCUUAAAUUGGAAUCAUUAUUAAAAUGGGAUUGGUCAAAGUUUGAGGCACCUUUGACAUUCUCAUUCAACACUCGAAGAGAGACUUUGAAUUUGAAAAUGAACUGUGGAAAAGUCAUCUUUAAAAACCAUAUAAA